CGGAGCAUAGCUCAGCCUGGUAGAGCGCAGCCUUCGGGAGGCUGAGGCCGGAGGUUCGAAUCCUCUUGCUCCGACCA
This 77-nucleotide transfer RNA is filed under the name Holosporaceae bacterium. RNAcentral describes it as "tRNA-Pro". It matches the Rfam family "tRNA". Rfam says of the family: Transfer RNA (tRNA) molecules are approximately 80 nucleotides in length. Their secondary structure includes four short double-helical elements and three loops (D, anti-codon, and T loops). Lineage: Bacteria; Pseudomonadati; Pseudomonadota; Alphaproteobacteria; Holosporales; Holosporaceae. The record is from RNAcentral.